This is a non-coding RNA of Entophlyctis helioformis, 72 nucleotides long. Lineage: Eukaryota; Fungi; Chytridiomycota; Chytridiomycetes; Chytridiales; Chytriomycetaceae. The record is from the annotation of a GenBank genome assembly.
GGAGGCUUAGCUCAGCGGUAGAGCAAUCGACUGCAGAUCGAUAGGUCCGUGGUUCAAUUCCGCGAGUCUCCU